This 492-nucleotide ribosomal RNA is filed under the name uncultured bacterium. RNAcentral describes it as "partial 16S ribosomal RNA". It matches the Rfam family "Bacterial small subunit ribosomal RNA", at positions 29 to 507 of the family's 1533-position model. The record is from RNAcentral.
AGUGAACGCUGGCGGUAUGCCUAACACAUGCAAGUCGAACGGCAGCACAGUAAGAUCUUGCUCUUACGGGUGGCGAGUGGGGGACGGGUGAGGAAUACAUCGGAAUCUAAUUUUUCGUGGGGGAUAACGUAGGGAAACUUACGCUAAUACCGCAUAUGACCUACGGGUGAAAGCAGGGGAUCUUCGGACCUUUCGCGAUUGAAUGAGCCGAUUUCGGAUUAGCUAGUUGGGCCGGUAAAGUCCCACCAAGGCGACGAUCCCUAGCUGGUCUGAGAGGAUGAUCGACCACACUGGAACUGAGACACAGUCCAGACUCCUACGGGAUGCAACAGUGUUGCAUCUUGCACAAUGGUCAGAAGCCUUAUGCACCAAUACCCCGUGGGUGAAGAAGGCCUUCUGGUUGUAAAGCCCUUUUGUUGGGAAAAAAACGAAUCAGGUUAAUCCCCCGAUGUUCUAACGGUACCCAAACAAUAAGCAACGGCUAACUUCGUG